RNAcentral lists this ribosomal RNA (254 nucleotides) under uncultured bacterium. RNAcentral describes it as "partial 16S ribosomal RNA". It matches the Rfam family "Bacterial small subunit ribosomal RNA", at positions 524 to 776 of the family's 1533-position model. The record is from RNAcentral.
UACGAAGGGGGCUAGCGUUGCUCGGAAUCACUGGGCGUAAAGGGCGCGUAGGCGGCGUUUUUAAGUCGGGGGUGAAAGCCUGUGGCUCAACCACAGAAUGGCCUUCGAUACUGGGACGCUUGAGUAUGGUAGAGGUUGGUGGAACUGCGAGUGUAGAGGUGAAAUUCGUAGAUAUUCGCAAGAACACCGGUGGCGAAGGCGGCCAACUGGACCAUUACUGGCGCUGAGGCGCGAAAGCGUGGGGAGCAAACAGG